GGAGAUUUAGCUCAGUGGUAGAGUGCUUGCCUAGCAAGCGCAAGGCCCUGGGUUCGGUCCCCAGCUCCU
This 69-nucleotide transfer RNA is filed under the name Rattus norvegicus (Norway rat). It matches the Rfam family "tRNA". From Rfam's summary of the family: Transfer RNA (tRNA) molecules are approximately 80 nucleotides in length. Their secondary structure includes four short double-helical elements and three loops (D, anti-codon, and T loops). Further hydrogen bonds mediate the characteristic L-shaped molecular structure. tRNAs have two regions of fundamental functional importance: the anti-codon, which is responsible for specific mRNA codon recognition, and the 3' end, to which the tRNAs corresponding amino acid is attached (by aminoacyl-tRNA synthetases). tRNAs cope with the degeneracy of the genetic code in two manners: having more than one tRNA (with a specific anti-codon) for a particular amino acid; and 'wobble' base-pairing, i.e. permitting non-standard base-pairing at the 3rd anti-codon position. Lineage: Eukaryota; Metazoa; Chordata; Mammalia; Rodentia; Muridae. The record is from Rfam by way of RNAcentral.